UGUCUUUUUGUUGCCGCCUCGGCCACGGC
RNAcentral lists this small RNA (29 nucleotides) under Bombyx mori (domestic silkworm). RNAcentral describes it as "ovarian small RNA-35870". The record is from RNAcentral. Lineage: Eukaryota; Metazoa; Arthropoda; Insecta; Lepidoptera; Bombycidae.